Molecule: ribosomal RNA, 709 nt
Filed under: Pseudoalteromonas sp.
Lineage: Bacteria; Pseudomonadati; Pseudomonadota; Gammaproteobacteria; Alteromonadales; Pseudoalteromonadaceae
Description: bacterial SSU rRNA
Rfam family: Bacterial small subunit ribosomal RNA
Source: RNAcentral
GACGAGCGGCGGACGGGUGAGUAAUGCUUGGGAACAUGCCUUGAGGUGGGGGACAACAGUUGGAAACGACUGCUAAUACCGCAUAAUGUCUACGGACCAAAGGGGGCUUCGGCUCUCGCCUUUAGAUUGGCCCAAGUGGGAUUAGCUAGUUGGUGAGGUAAUGGCUCACCAAGGCGACGAUCCCUAGCUGGUUUGAGAGGAUGAUCAGCCACACUGGGACUGAGACACGGCCCAGACUCCUACGGGAGGCAGCAGUGGGGAAUAUUGCACAAUGGGCGCAAGCCUGAUGCAGCCAUGCCGCGUGUGUGAAGAAGGCCUUCGGGUUGUAAAGCACUUUCAGUCAGGAGGAAAGGGUGGUGGUUAAUACCUGCUAUGUGUGACGUUACUGACAGAAGAAGCACCGGCUAACUCCGUGCCAGCAGCCGCGGUAAUACGGAGGGUGCGAGCGUUAAUCGGAAUUACUGGGCGUAAAGCGUACGCAGGCGGUUUGUUAAGCGAGAUGUGAAAGCCCCGGGCUCAACCUGGGAACUGCAUUUCGAACUGGCAAACUAGAGUGUGAUAGAGGGUGGUAGAAUUUCAGGUGUAGCGGUGAAAUGCGUAGAGAUCUGAAGGAAUACCGAUGGCGAAGGCAGCCACCUGGGUCAACACUGACGCUCAUGUACGAAAGCGUGGGGAGCAAACGGGAUUAGAUACCCCGGUAGUCCACGCC